UGCAGUCGAGCGGUAACAGGUGUAGCAAUACAUGCUGACGAGCGGCGAACGGGUGAGUAAUGCUUCGGAAUCUGCCCAAUGGUGGGGAAUAACCAGCCGAAAGGUUGGCUAAUACCGCAUAAGUCCUACGGGAGAAAGCAGGGGAUCGCAAGACCUUGCGCCGAUGGAUGAGCCGAAGCCGGAUUAGCUAGUUGGUAGGGUAACGGCCUACCAAGGCGACGAUCCGUAGCUGGUCUGAGAGGACGACCAGCCACACUGGGACUGAGACACGGCCCAGACUCCUACGGGAGGCAGCAGUGGGGAAUAUUGGACAAUGGGGGAAACCCUGAUCCAGCGACGCCGCGUGUGUGAAGAAGGCCUGCGGGUUGUAAAGCACUUUUAGUGGGGAUGAAAAGCUCAAGGCUAAUACCCUUGGGUCUUGACCUAACCCACAGAAAAAGCACCGGCUAACUCUGUGCCAGCAGCCGCGGUAAUACAGAGGGUGCAAGCGUUAAUCGGAAUUACUGGGCGUAAAGCGUGCGUAGACGGUUACAUAAGUCGGGUGUGAAAGCCCCGGGCUCAACCUGGGAAUUGCAUUCGAGACUGCGUAGCUAGGGUGCGGAAGAGGGAAGCGGAUUUCCGGUGUAGCGGUGAAAUGCGUAGAUAUCGGAAGGAACACCAGUGGCGAAAGCGGCUUCCUGGUCCAGCACCGACGUUCAGGCACGAAAGCGUGGGGAGCAAACAGGAUUAGAUACCCUGUAGUCCACGCCAUAAACGAUGAGAACUAGACGUUGAAGGGGUAAGCCCUGCAGUGUCGACUAACGCGCUAAGUUCUCGCCUGGGGAGUACGGCGCAAGGUUGAACUCAAAGGAUUGAGGGGACCCGCA
This 866-nucleotide ribosomal RNA is filed under the name uncultured Pseudomonadota bacterium. RNAcentral describes it as "bacterial SSU rRNA". It matches the Rfam family "Bacterial small subunit ribosomal RNA", at positions 56 to 925 of the family's 1533-position model. The record is from RNAcentral. Lineage: Bacteria; Pseudomonadati; Pseudomonadota.